ACAAGAUAGUUAGUCCAAUUUAAUCUGUUGACAAAACCCCAUGCAUGAACUAGUAUAGGACUUAAAGGGAAAAAAAGUGAUGUGAAAAAGUUUUUGUUUAUCCCUAGACUCUUUAUGGAGAGGGUGGGGAGAGGCAAGAAUUAAAUUUCCUUGAGAUUAAUUGCCUUACACACAUUCUUCUGACGUUGCAAGACUGAGAAAGAGGAAGAAAAAAAGGGAGCUAUGACUGUGGUUAUAUUCUAAAAGAGGGUUUUAGAGAGGGAGAAGAGGACACAGAAGCAAGCUGAUUUGACCAGAAUCAGAACUUCCCAUGACAGAUUAAGCAACAAGCAAAGCUUGGAGUCUGAGAGCAAGGAAAGAGUGGAAAUUUACAGCUGCUUUGCGUGAGUGUUCAAGUGAUCAUUUUCUGCUAAUGUUCCAAGUUUUCCUGUGGUAACUUUGACUCUUCAAAGAGGUAAGCAGAAAAUAAGGACAGGAUUGUGGAAACUUCUCUGUCACACUUUGGUAACAGGAAACAUCCUCUAUUGAAUGGAAGAUAAAGGCUAUUUCAUCUAAAGUCCUUGAGCCCCAGAGAGCUGUCUUCAGCACCUCAUCAUAUGUCUACUUUUUGUUGCUUAGACGAGCCUGGGCAUUUCUGUAAGAUUUGCAUUCCAUAUUGGAACAAGUGAUUUCUAUAGAUGAAAAAAAUGCCUUUGUUUAGUAAAUCACAUAAAAAUCCAGCAGAAAUUGUGAAAAUUCUGAAAGACAACUUAGCCAUUUUGGAAAAGCAAGACAAAAAGACAGAAAAGGCUUCAGAAGAAGUGUCGAAAUCACUGCAAGUAAUGAAAGAAAUUCUGUGUGGUGCAAAUGACAAAGAAAACCCAAUGGAGGCUGUGGCUCACCUAGCACAAGAACUCUACAAUAGUGGGCUGCUGGUGACACUGAUAGCUGACCUACAACUGAUAGACUUUGA
This is a long non-coding RNA of Phyllostomus discolor (pale spear-nosed bat), 952 nucleotides long. RefSeq lists it as uncharacterized. NCBI's taxonomy places the organism in Eukaryota, Metazoa, Chordata, Mammalia, Chiroptera, Phyllostomidae. The record is from RefSeq and is a predicted model, not a curated record. The transcript has 3 exons.